RNAcentral lists this ribosomal RNA (497 nucleotides) under uncultured bacterium. Its description in RNAcentral is "partial 16S ribosomal RNA". It matches the Rfam family "Bacterial small subunit ribosomal RNA", at positions 28 to 507 of the family's 1533-position model. The record is from RNAcentral.
GAUGAACGCUGGCGGCGUGCCUAAUACAUGCAAGUCGAGCGAACGGACGAGAAGCUUGCUUCUCUGAUGUUAGCGGCGGACGGGUGAGUAACACGUGGAUAACCUACCUAUAAGACUGGGAUAACUUCGGGAAACCGGAGCUAAUACCGGAUAAUAUUUUGAACCGCAUGGUUCAAAAGUGAAAGACGGUCUUGCUGUCACUUAUAGAUGGAUCCGCGCUGCAUUAGCUAGUUGGUAAGGUAACGGCUUACCAAGGCAACGAUGCAUAGCCGACCUGGGAGGGUGAUCGGCCCCACUGGAACUGCGACACGGACCAGACUCCUGCGGGAGGCAGCAGUAGGGAAUCUUCCGCAAUGGGCGAAAGCCUAACGGAGCAACGCCGCGUGAGUGAUGAAGGUCUUCGGAUCGUAAAACUCUGUUAUUAGGGAAGAACAUAUGUGUAAGUAACUGUGCACAUCUUGACGGUACCUAAUCAGAAAGCCACGGCUAACUACGUG